UCUGAGGAAGGACACGCAUUCUCACUCAGACAGCGCAGAGUUCCGUGUUCAACAAACGCAUUUUCUGCUGCGCAACACAUUCAGAGGUUCGCAUCGAGACGCUCUUUCUCGCCACAAUGUCGAUGACCGUGAAAGCUUACCUUAUCGGUAAGGACGACUGCAACAAGGAGAUCCGCCGCUUCGCCGUGGAUCAGGACGUCUCAACAAGUUAUGAGUAUCUGAAGAGAAAAGUGCUCGAUGUUUUCGUCGGGCUUAGGACUGCGCCCUUUCAAAUGUACUAUAAAGAUGAAGAUGGUGACCUGAUUGCCUUCUCCUCUGACGAUGAGCUCAUGAUGGGGCUGGCUCUUGUGAAGGAUGGCACUUUCCGUGUUAACAUCAAGCAAAGAAAGGAGCACAAACGUGAUCCCUCACCUCAUGGGGUCCCUGGGUUCUCAUUCCCCCCGCCUCAUGGAGCCCCUCACUUCAGCCCCCCAGGACCUAAUCCUAUGGGUCCACCUCCAAUGGGUCCCCCAGGAGCACCUCACAUGGGACCUCCUCCCCAUUUCCCUCAAAUGCCACACCCAGGGGUGACCUGUGAUGGGUGCGAUGGGCCGGUGGUUGGAACACGUUUCAAGUGCACCGUUUGCCCCGAUUAUGACUUGUGCUCCUCCUGCCAGGGCAAAGGCCUCCACAAGGAGCAUCCUCUCCUGCCCCUCUUUCACCCCAUGGCCAACAUGUUUGAGUGGUUCCCUCGUGGGAAGUUUUGGCGUAAGAUGAGACACUGCAUGUGGGCAAAUACCCAGGCUCAGGCUCAAGCUCAGGCCCAUGCUCAGAACCAGGCUCAGCCAGGCCCAUCAGGAGUCCAGCAGAACCAGGAUGCUUCUGAAAACAUGAGAGAGAACGGUGCUACUGACUCCUCCCAGGCCAAUAUGGAGUACCUAAAGAACAUUGGAGAGGGAGUGGCGGCCAUGUUGAGCCCCCUUGGCAUAGAUGUGGACAUCGACGUUGAGCAUGAGGGGAAGCGGACCAAAGUUACACCAACUCCUCCUGCCUCCAGUGGGCCACCUAGUGCUCGGAGUGAGAGUGGCUCUAUAGGGCUUCUCUCCAGAGGGUCUGGUCCUGGAAGUCAGGCCAAUGAAGAGAGCAUCAGUGAAGGAACAAAAAAAGACCAAGGCAGUGAUGAGGAAUGGACUCAUCUCAGCUCUAAAGAGGUAGACCCCUCCACAGGAGAGCUGCAGUCCCUCAGGUUGGAACAGGACGGGACAGAUCAUCCAGCACCACUGAGUACUGACUCCAGCACAAGCGCCUCUGAGGGUCCCACUGGUCUGCGCGAGGCAGCUCUCUACCCACACCUUCCUCAAGAUGCAGACCCCAGGCUGGUGGAGUCUCUUUCUCAGAUGCUCUCCAUGGGCUUCACUGAUGAGGGUGGAUGGUUGACCAGACUGCUCCACACCAAGAAUUUCGACAUCGGAUCUGCCCUGGAUACCAUCCAGUACUCCAAACCCGGCUCACAGAAGUAGAGAAGGAGCACGGGAAUGAAGAAGACCUGGGCCACAACUAUUGAUGUUUGAAGAUUUUGGCCUAUUUUCUAUUAACAAAGUCUUUCCAUAUUUUUUCCAAUGACAAAUUAUUUAGGUAAAUGCUAUCAACAAUAUCAAUUACUCAGGUGACUUGGCACUUAGUUAAGAUCAUUAAUGGACUUUUAUGCAAAAUAGAUAUAUUCAGCAUUUCUGUUAUUAGCACUACAUCUCAUAUAUAUGCAUAUUACAUAUAAAAGUAGAAGUCUACAUCUGUGUGCUUUUUCUAUUUGCAUUUACAUAACCAAUAAGAAGAGUUUGUAGACAAAGUAUAAACCUGGGGGUAUUUUUAUUGUUAGUUUGAAUAAAUCGAUGGAAUAAGGUUAAUGUCACUGUAGGUCUUCUAAAAUUCCUGUCCUUUCUGUCUACAAUAAAAUGCAAUAAAUAAAUAAA
Molecule: RNA transcript, 1949 nt
Organism: Carassius gibelio (silver crucian carp)
Lineage: Eukaryota; Metazoa; Chordata; Actinopteri; Cypriniformes; Cyprinidae
Gene name: sequestosome-1
Exons: 9
Source: RefSeq, a predicted model, not a curated record